RNAcentral lists this small RNA (83 nucleotides) under Marmota monax (woodchuck). Lineage: Eukaryota; Metazoa; Chordata; Mammalia; Rodentia; Sciuridae. The record is from RNAcentral.
GCUGGGCAUGGUGGUACAUGCCUGUAAUCCCAGCAGCUCAGGAGGCUGAGGCAGGAGGAUUGCAAGUUCAAAGCCAGCCUCAG